Molecule: ribosomal RNA, 446 nt
Filed under: uncultured bacterium
Lineage: Bacteria
Description: SSU rRNA
Rfam family: Bacterial small subunit ribosomal RNA
Source: RNAcentral
AGAAUGAACGCUGGCGGCAUGCCUAACACAUGCAAGUCGAACGAAACCUUCGGGUUUAGUGGCGCACGGGUGCGUAACGCGUGGGAAUCUACCCCUUGGUUCGGAAUAACAGUUGGAAACGACUGCUAAUACCGGAUGAUGACGUAAGUCCAAAGAUUUAUCGCCGAGGGAUGAGCCCGCGUAGGAUUAGGUAGUUGGUGUGGUAAAGGCGCACCAAGCCGACGAUCCUUAGCUGGUCUGAGAGGAUGAUCAGCCACACUGGGACUGAGACACGGCCCAGACUCCUACGGGAGGCAGCAGUGGGGAAUAUUGGACAAUGGGCGAAAGCCUGAUCCAGCAAUGCCGCGUGAGUGAUGAAGGCCUUAGGGUUGUAAAGCUCUUUUACCCGGGAUGAUAAUGACAGUACCGGGAGAAUAAGCUCCGGCUAACUCCGUGCCAGCAGCCGC